RNAcentral lists this long non-coding RNA (1104 nucleotides) under Drosophila guanche. Lineage: Eukaryota; Metazoa; Arthropoda; Insecta; Diptera; Drosophilidae. The record is from RNAcentral.
CCUCAGAUACUAAUUGCUUGGAUCUAUUAUUAUCUAGACAUGUUUAGGAACUGCGGAAUGUCUUGAAAAUGAAAGGGAAUUCUUUGCUAUUAUUUUAUUUAGAGAGUUUUUUAUUGGAAAUCGGAAACCUCUCCCCAAAAUCCCUACGUAUAGCUCAUCGAAUGCUUCUCCUAUACAGCACACAAAUAAUCAUUUGCCAUUUGCGAAAAAUUAGAAAUUCAUUUGGAGGAAGGGGAAACGAAAGCAAGAAAAGUCAAUAAAACUUGUUUCGCUAAUUUCUCAGGGGCAUUUGGAAGUGAAAAAGUUCUUCUACUGUAUUUCGGUCUUUGAUUUGUUGUCUGUUUGGUUCCAUCUGACAAAUGUCUUGUGUGUUUUUAAUUGUGUGUGUUUCGGUAAUGUCUUCAUUACCUUACCCCUUUUUGGCUGCUCUCCUCCCUGCCCUCUCUCUGUGCGGAUUGAAACUCGUUCUAUGGUUUAAUGGGCUUAGCAUUUGGGCAGAUAUGUAUGAAUGCUUGAUAUAUGGCUAGCAAUUUUAUUGAUUCUCGCAACGGGAUGGAACGCAUGGAUGGUAGUUGGUUUAUCAGUGGACUGAUCGGACAAUUGGUUAUUGUAUUGGAAUUAUGAAAUUAUGCAAAUAUCGAAUUAUGAUCGAGGCAGCAACCAAGGAGACACACAAAAGGGUUGAAAUGUUAAGACAUUUGGCAAAUAUAAGAUUUAUAAUCGAGUGUGACAGCAUAAAUAAUAAUUACGCUACAAUUAUGACAUUUUUGUUCGGGAAUUAUUCAUAAUUUCCACUGAUAAGCCAUUGGCCCAAAUCUGUGGCUCUUGCUUACGCGAACUUCUGAUGGAGUUUCCACCGAUUUAAUGUUCUGUUCCACAAACUUCCCACGGAUCACACGGAUCACCAGAUACCAGAUACCAGUUCGGAGAUCGCCAGAGAUCGCUAACGAUAUGUUAAUGUUGGCUAGCCAAAAGAACACGAGUGCAAGAGCGAGUACCCACAUGUUUAAGAUUAGACAUUACUCUACGACUCGGACUGGGACUGGGAUUGGGAUUGGGAUUGGUAUUGGGAUUGGCAAAACCCCCUAGCGGAAGUCGAAGCUG